GUGUCAGCAGCCGCGGUAAUACGUAGGUGGCAAGCGUUGUCCGGAUUUACUGGGCGUAAAGGGCGUGCAGGCGGUUUGUUAAGUCUAGGGUGAAAGCUCCCGGCUCAACUGGGAGAGGUCCUUGGAUACUGGCAGACUUGAGGAGGGUAGAGGAGAGUGGAAUUCCCGGUGUAGUGGUGAUAUGCGUAGAUAUCGGGAGGAACACCAGUGGCGAAGGCGGCUCUCUGGGCCCUACCUGACGCUGAGACGCGAAAGCGUGGGGAGCGAACCGGAUUAGAAACCCCCGUAGUCC
RNAcentral lists this ribosomal RNA (292 nucleotides) under uncultured bacterium. RNAcentral's name for it is "partial 16S ribosomal RNA". It matches the Rfam family "Bacterial small subunit ribosomal RNA", at positions 505 to 796 of the family's 1533-position model. The record is from RNAcentral.